GAGUUUGAUCAUGGCUCAGGACGAACGCUGGCGGCACGCCUAACACAUGCAAGUCGAACGGAGAUAUUUUGGUUUACUGAGAUAUCUUAGUGGCGGACGGGUGAGUAACACGUGAGCAACCUGCCUCUGAGAGAGGGAUAGCUUCUGGAAACGGAUGGUAAUACCUCAUAACAUAACGAAGCCGCAUGACUUUGUUAUCAAAGAUUUAUCACUCAGAGAUGGGCUCGCGUCUGAUUAGAUAGUUGGUGAGGUAACGGCUCACCAAGUCGACGAUCAGUAGCCGGACUGAGAGGUUGAACGGCCACAUUGGGACUGAGACACGGCCCAGACUCCUACGGGAGGCAGCAGUGGGGAAUAUUGCACAAUGGGGGAAACCCUGAUGCAGCGAUGCCGCGUGGAGGAAGAAGGUUUUCGGAUUGUAAACUCCUGUCUAAAGGACGAUAAUGACGUACUAGAGA
This 458-nucleotide ribosomal RNA is filed under the name uncultured Bacillota bacterium. RNAcentral describes it as "bacterial SSU rRNA". It matches the Rfam family "Bacterial small subunit ribosomal RNA", at positions 9 to 465 of the family's 1533-position model. The record is from RNAcentral. Lineage: Bacteria; Bacillati; Bacillota.